UACGUAGGUGGCAAGCGUUAUCCGGAAUUAUUGGGCGUAAAGAGCGUGUAGGCGGCCACACAGGUCUGCUGUGAAAACUCGAGGCUCAACCUCGAGCUGUCGGUGGAAACCGUGUGGCUAGAGUCCGGAAGAGGAGAGUGGAAUUCCCGGUGUAGCGGUGAAAUGCGCAGAUAUCGGGAAGAACACCCGUGGCGAAGGCGGCUCUCUGGGACGGUACUGACGCUGAGACGCGAAAGCGUGGGGGAGCGAACAGG
This 254-nucleotide ribosomal RNA is filed under the name uncultured bacterium. Its description in RNAcentral is "partial 16S ribosomal RNA". It matches the Rfam family "Bacterial small subunit ribosomal RNA", at positions 524 to 776 of the family's 1533-position model. The record is from RNAcentral.